This 5202-nucleotide long non-coding RNA is filed under the name Erythranthe guttata (spotted monkey flower). Its description in RNAcentral is "long non-coding RNA (EGUT_LNC001871)". Lineage: Eukaryota; Viridiplantae; Streptophyta; Magnoliopsida; Lamiales; Phrymaceae. The record is from RNAcentral.
CUAUCAAUUAAGUUGAACUAUAAUCAAUAUUAUAUAUGUGUUCUAUUAAUUGAAAUCAAUUUAACAAUUUAAAUUAAUUAAUUAAUAUAAUACCUAUUUACUAAAAUAGAUGAUUGUUGACUCAAUUAUCUAAUUGGGAUUAAUUGAAAAUAAUUUUCCAAAAAUUAAAAUCAAUUUGUUUUAAGUUUAAUUUUAGAAAUCUGAAAUAAUUUUUUUUUUUCAGUGAAUCGGUUCGAGCCGAAGCGGUCCGGUUCUGCCCGGUCCAGUUGACCCAAAUCAGUGGGCCGGGUCAGUCGGACCGAGAAUCGGUCUGACCGACCCGAAUCCACGUGGAUUCAGUCAAUUGGAUCGGACACAACCAUCGAACCGGCCGGUUUGACCGGUUCGAUCCGAACAAUUAAAAAACCGAUGUUUUAAAAUAAUUUCAGAUCCGUUUUUCCAAUUUUAAACAAUUUUAAAGCUGGAAAAAUUCUUAACAAUAUUUCAAAAAUAUUUUAAAAUAUGAAAACUCCCAAUUACAUAAUACAACAAUCACUACUUUAAUAAAUCGAACAUGCAUAAAAUCAUAGCAUAUAUAAACGAACGCAAUUAAUUGCGCAACGAGCUCUGAUACCACUGUUGAGAAUAAGACACGUGUACGCUGCGGAAAACAAAAAUUUUAUGCGAUUUAAACAACUUUAAAACACAUAAACACAUGCCCGAUAAUUGAAAACAAUUAAUUGCGCACCUUUGCGCUUCCAGCGAAAAUUAAAACGACAUACAUGCUUAAUUAUUCAACCGAAUUUAAAUCAAUUAGCAUGCUUGCGUUUAAAUCAAAUAUUCAUGCUCGCGAUAAAUAAAUAAUUCCAUGUAUUCACAUAAAAUCAUGCAAGAACGAACAUAAACAUUCUACUUAAACGUAGACGAAUCAAGAACAAUGAAUUCGUGUGUUUACCUCUUGAAGCGUGAGGUAGGAGCACUAAGCAAGACGAUAUUGCUACGGAAACCAAUCCGUACAAUCCAGGGCAGCUGCGGUGGAGCGGCAGCAGCGGCGAGACGGGCGCCGCGGCGUGUGUCACUCACGCGCGGUCUUCGGGCGGCGCGUGGGGAUACGUGCGGCUUCGGCUCGUGUGCUGCUCCUCGACUCUUCGAUCUUCGAUCUUCCUCCUCUCAGAUUUCACCUCGUAUACUUUGAUCUACUAAACACGUUGCACUAGACACGUAAUAGUUAGAAAAAUGGAAGAAAAGAAAGAAGGAAAGAAAUACCGAAAGGGAUCGGCCAACGGAUGGCCGAUUCCGGUGAUUUUCCGGCGACGACGGCGUGGGUGGCCGCGGUGGAGAAUGGCCGAGAUAGAGAGGGACUGCUAGGGUUAGGGUUUUGUUGUGUGUGUGCAAGACCUAUAAAUCAAGUAUUUAUAGUGUCUUGCAUAAAACCCUAGGGGGCUUAAGUUGGACCGGGCCCAACAACUUAAGUUCGUUAGUUCUAUUACUUGCUUGUCUCUCUCAAUUCAAUGAUCGAAAAAUUGUAAUGAUUACAUUUUAGGAAUCAUUAUAACGUCCUCGCCAUUACGAGUGCCAACUCUCGAUUUCCAUCUUUCCAAAAGUGGAAACCCUAAUUUAGUGCACUUUCUAAAUUUGGAAACUUCCCGAUUUAGAAAGUUCACUAAUACGUUUGCCUAUUCUUUUCCUUUUCUUAUUCUCAUUCAUAAUUCCAAAUUACAAAUGUUGGACCCAAUCAUAUUGAUUUACAAUCAUGCAAAGAUAAACCAUUUUAUCUGUGACUGUUUAUUCAAAGAUCUCAUGUGCACGAGCAGUGUGACUCUCGAUGGUUCAGGUGUAAGCUAGCCGUGGGCCUACAACCCUUUGUGGUCAAAACUGGUCCCUUAGAGUUACGAUUAAGAUGAAGCUCGUUUCACCUUAAUCACCCAACGGAUCAAGAUUGGCGUCUAGCAACUACGCGUCAUGAUUCCGUAGAUACAAAUGAAGUGCCUGCAAGAACCUUCAAAUAUAGUUAACGUACAGUACGGUCCCUUCGAGACAUAUGUCCCGAUUGAACUAGAUGCAUUGGUUCGUCGAGACCUCUUUAUAUGUUCAAUGACGGUGCGAUCAUUCCAAGUGUUGUAAUCGUUACGUGCAUGACUCAGAGAAUCGAAUUCUCUAAUUAUCACUUAGUCAGCUCUGGCCAGAGACUUAGAAUGAUUACAAACUAUCAGAAAAUACAGGACAUCCAAGACUAUUCUAGCGAUCGAAUCCCCGACUACAAUGCACAGACCUCCCACUAGAUUUCGGACUGCACGAACACUGGCCCUUGGGAUGGUCCUCGGUAGAACUCAGGGAAAGGUCACGAUACAGAUGGUCCUCUAGUGAAGUCACGGUGAUGUCUAGGUCAUAAGGACUAAUGGUGUAAAACUAUACCAUAGAUAUCUCUACUCGAUUAUUGGGAACCACUUAUAGAUUUCUAGGGUGAGGGAGUUCAGUGAACUCGUCAACUUACGAGCACCCACUUAUGCAUGUCGAUAUCAUAAUACCGUUUACUGAUCAGAUGCAGUACACAUACACUAAGUGCUAGUCUCUUAAUGGGAAAGGCCGAUAUCCUCAUUGGUGGUGUAACCCUUCGACUAGGAACACGUUUAACAGUUAUAAUACUUAAGUAAAUAUCUCACGAUCAUAACGAUCAAUUACUAGUACUUGUAAUAACUGUAAGGACUAUAUCUAUGCUUGUGACAAAGGGACAAAGAUAUAGAAUGCCAAUGUGUUUUAUCAUUAAUACGAAUAAAGGUUCGUUUAUUACAAUAAUAAAUACGAAAGACCACAACCACAUGUUGGCUUGUUGGUCACCAACUCUAUCAGCUAGACCACCCAAGUCAAAAGGGGUCGUUGCGCCAAAGCUGACCGUAGAUGUACCAUAUACUCAACUACUGGUCAAGGCCAAGAUUGAGUCCUAUUACAAAAGAUUUCUUGAGAAGUAAAAUGAAUUUCAUAUUUAUAUUCCUUUCACUCAAGCUCUUGAGCUAAUGCCACGUUAGGUAAACUUUUAGAAAGAUAUGGUGUCUAAAAGCAAACAAUUAGUGAGCAUGAAACGAUAGUUUUAACUGAACAAUGCAACGGGAUCCUCACUGGCCCACUUCAACCGAAACUGGAAGAUGUCGGUAACUUUACAAUCCCAGUCGCAAUAAGGGGUAAGUUCUUUUCGAAGUAUCUCAUAGACUUAGUUAGGGCUAGCAUUAACCAUAUGCCAUUUUCUACUUUUCAAAAUUUGGGACUACGCGAUAUAAAAUUGGUGUCUAUGACUUUACAUUUGAAGAAUAGAUCUCUGAUUUUCCUAAAAGACAUUGUAGAGGAUGUGUUAGUUAAAGUAUAUAAUUCAUAUUUCCAGCAGAUUUUGUAGUCCUAGAUAUGGAAGAAGAUAAAUAAAUUCCCUUAAUCUUACAGAGACAUUUUUUGAGAAUGAGUCGGACUAUAGUUGAUGUUUUUAAUGGGUAUUAUCUAUGUCUUUGGGGAUGAAACAAUCAAAUUUGAUGUUUUUCGAACAAUGAAACACCCACAAGAGGUUGAUGAAUGCUUUUCUUUUGAUGUUUUGGAUUACGUGAGUAAUGAUUACAUUAACCCUUUAAUUGUGGAUCCUUUGGAAGCAUCAUUGGUUGCUGGAACUGAAAUUGAGGAUGAAGCAGUGGUUGAACAAUAAUAUAGGCUAGACUCGGCGAAGCCAUUGCUGAAAUCCAGUUUUGAAUGUUUGGACACUCACCGCAUCCCGUGCAAGGAGAGAUGGACAACUCAAAUCAACGAGAUCAAUGUUUACGAGAAAAAAUAGAUCUACAAGGAAAAUAUCAAGCGGUGGCACGACAAUAAGAUUUUUCAUCGUGAAUUUGACAAGAGGUAGCUGGUGUUACUCUUAAACUCCCGUCUCAAACUAUUUCCAGGCAAACUCAAGUCGAGAUGGUCAGGGCCUUUUACGGUGCUCGAAGUAUUUCCACAUGGUGCAGUAGAGUUAUUGGAUUCCGGUAUCGGAAUUUUUUUCAAAGUCAAUGGGUAGACCCUCAAGCAUUAUUGGGAAGGAUAAUUGCAUCGUCAAACGACUUUCGUCACUUUAAUUAGCUUGGAUAAAGAAGCUAACGAAGUCUGGUUGAAUACUACAAACUUAGCUCUUCUCGGGAUUCAACCCGAGAUUUUAAUGUUUUUGGUUUUGUUUUUUAAAUUUAUAGGGUUAAAUACAAAAACACCCCUGUACUAUGGGCUUUGUAUCAUAUACCCCAUGUACUACACAUAAAUACAAAAACCCCUGUUGUUAUAUUUUUUUCCAAAAUCUGACGAAAAUACCCCUGCUAAGCCUAUAAAUAUAAGGGUUUGUUUGAGCCAUUUUCCACUAUAUUUGUUUAACAUUUUCAGUUAAUUUUACUUGGAAUUUUUUUUUUCUUCAAAACAUUUAAUUACUUAGAAUUUUUUUUAAUUUUCUGAAUAAAACCUUUUAUUUUUGUAUUUUUGAUUUCUUCAAGUAUUUCAAAUUCUCAACAAUAAUAAUCUUAGAAUAUUUGAACUACCGGAAGACAUUAAAGACAAAAAAAUGAAGAAACUCAAAAUGACAAAAAUAAAAAUUUUAAUCUAGAAAAUUAAAAAAAAUCCAAGCACAUAGAUGUUUUGGAGAAAAAAUAUAAAUACUCAAAUUUCUCACGUAAAAUUGACUGAAAAUGGUAAAAGAAUAUAUAGUGGAAAAUGGCUCAAAAAAUAAAUAAAUAAAUAUACAUAUAUAUAUAUAUAUAUAUAUAUAUAUAUAUAUAUAUAUAUAUAUAUAUAUAUAUAUAUAUUGCUUGAGUAGGGGUAUUUUUGUCAUAUUUUGGCAAAAAUGUAUGUGGGGGGGUUUGUAUUUAUGUGUAGUACAGGGGGUAUAUGACACAAAGUCCAUAGUACAGGGGUGUUUUUGUAUUUAACCCUAAUUUUUAUUUUUAUUUUUAUAGGAUCUUAUAGGGCUGGAAAAAAAAUACCGAUUACCAUAUACCAUGGUAUACCAACCAAGGAUUACCGAAAAAUUACCGAAACAACGGUUACCAUUGUCUACGGUACGGUAUUAGUACCGUACCAUUACAAUAUGGUACGGUAUUGGUAUUGUAUUUCUAAUACCACGGUAAUACCGUACCGUACCGCAAUUUAUAUUUUAAUCCGAUUAAUAUAUUUUUUUCGAUAUUAUUUUUUGUAAUUCUAUUUUGUUUACUUUGAAGCUUAUAAAUG